UACGCUUGUCUCAAAGAUUAAGCCAUGCAUGUCUAAGUAUAAGCAAAUUAUACGUGAACUGCGAAUGGCUCAUUAUAUCAGUUAUAGUUUCUUUGAUGGUCCUUACUACUUGGAUAACCGUAGUAACUCUAGAGCUAAUACAUGCAUCAAUCCCUGACUUCUGGAAGGGGUGUACUUAUUAGAUGGAAACCAAUGCGGGGCAACCGGAUAUUGGUGAUUCAUAAUAAUUAUCGGAUCGACCGUUUGGUCGAUGCAUCAUUCAAGUUUUCUGCCCUAUCAGCUUUGGAUGGUAGGGUAUUGGCCUACCAUGGCAUUAACGGGUAACGGAGAAUUAGGGUUCGAUUCCGGAGAGGGAGCCUGAGAAAUGGCUACCACAUCUAAGGAAGGCAGCAGGCGCGUAAAUUACCCAAUCCUGACACAGGAGGUAGUGACAAUAAAUAACAAUGUCGAGCCUUCGGGUUUGACAAUUGGAAUG
Molecule: ribosomal RNA, 475 nt
Filed under: uncultured eukaryote
Lineage: Eukaryota
Description: SSU rRNA
Rfam family: Eukaryotic small subunit ribosomal RNA
Source: RNAcentral